RNAcentral lists this long non-coding RNA (1185 nucleotides) under Anas platyrhynchos platyrhynchos (common mallard). RNAcentral's name for it is "lncRNA (ENSAPLG00000028874.1)". The record is from RNAcentral. Lineage: Eukaryota; Metazoa; Chordata; Aves; Anseriformes; Anatidae.
GCUGCAUUUCCAAAUUGGAUAAUUUCAUGUAAUGCUUAAGUGCUCGUUUCCCUGGAAGCAGAGAAAGAAGAAGCCCCUGGAUUGCUUUCUUCUUUACAAAGGAGUUACGUUACCUGGGUGCAUAAGAGGUUACAGCUACCAGGUACUGCUUCUCAAAACAGUCUCAGACAUCAUUCUGGGAUAUACCAACAAAUUGUUAUGGAUGUUUACUGGAGUAGCAAAAGAUAAAACAGACUGAUGACAUGGGUACCAGCUUCAGGAUUCUGAGCAAUACAAGGAGAAAAAAAAAACAACUGAAGACAUGAGAAUGAAUGUGACGUCAAGUGGAGAACUAUACAAAGCUACAUUUAAAUAUGUGCUUUACCAGAAGAUAUUGAAAUAUAAAAUCAGUUGUUAAACCACGGAAAUGUGACAUUGAAGCAACAGGAUAGAUCACAGUAAUAUCAACUGGAUUGUAGUUCAUACAGAUUUUUUUUUCUUCAUAUUUAAAUAAUCUAUAAUGUAUUGAUUCCAAGAAACUUUAUUCACAUACAGAUUCCAAAUUAUAACCAGACAUAAAGUGCUUAAUCUUCUGGUGUUUAUUUGUUUUGGUAGUGGUGGUUGUUUAUUUGUUUGUUUUUAAGGAUAGCAUCCAUUACUUAGACAAGUUUUCCUGUCCAUGAAUCCAGAGCAAGUCUGACACAUCACACUUUAAGAAGAAAAUAGUUAGAAAAGCCUCAAAGGACAUGAGUUGCAGAUUAACUUUGAAACUCGGAAUAUAGACAGUAAUUUUCAAAAGCGAUGAAAUUAAAAAUACUCAUUAGGACACCAGUCCCAAUGUGGAGGCAAAUCUUAAUAAGUCUGGGAGACUUAUAUUGGUUAGUAAUUCCUGCAACUGAAAGGAACAUUUUCAAAAAUCAUGCUGCACUGAUGUAUCUCAAUUUGGGCAAUCCAAACCUUAGAUGUCUUCAAGUCACUUGUGAAAAUUCAGGUUGCAGAUAGAGUUAACAAUUUUCACAUGUGUAUGCUCUCUUCAGGAGAGAUACACAUUCCUCCCAGUCAAAGUGCAACACAAUGCUCUGGGAAGGAUGUCUCUUUAUUCUUUGGAAUCAGUAUUUUUAAUACUUGUUUCUUUUUUAAUUUGAUUGCAGAUCAGUUCUGAAGUUGGUUAAGAGAUUCAAUCUUCCUCUGCCUUUCAAAAAUGAG